GUGUUGUAUGAAAGGAGAGAAGGUUAGCACUCCCCUUGAUAAGGAUGGAAGAGGUCCUAGUGGCCUUUACAACACAUAUACGGUUAAGGCAUUGCCACCUACUCUGUGGCAUCUAACCAUGUUUUUUU
Small nuclear RNA from Sarcophilus harrisii (Tasmanian devil), 128 nucleotides. The record is from Ensembl. NCBI's taxonomy places the organism in Eukaryota, Metazoa, Chordata, Mammalia, Dasyuromorphia, Dasyuridae.